RNAcentral lists this small RNA (123 nucleotides) under Marmota monax (woodchuck). The record is from RNAcentral. Lineage: Eukaryota; Metazoa; Chordata; Mammalia; Rodentia; Sciuridae.
GCCGGGUAUGGUGGCACAUGCCUGUAAUCCCAGCAGCUUGGGAGGCUGAAAUGGGAGGAUCAUGAGUUCAAAGCUACCCUCAAAAAGCGAGUUUCUAAGCAACUCGGUGAAACCCUGUCUCUA